GACGAACGCUGGCGGCGUGCUUAACACAUGCAAGUCGAACGGAAAGGCCCUGCUUUUGUGGGGUGCUCGAGUGGCGAACGGGUGAGUAACACGUGAGUAACCUGCCCUUGACUUUGGGAUAACUUCAGGAAACUGCGGCUAAUACCGGCUAGGAGCUCCUGCUGCAUGGGGGGGGUUGGAAAGCUUCGGCGGUUGGGGAUGGACUCGCGGCUUAUCAGCUUGUUGGUGGGGUAGUGGCUUACCAAGGCUUUGGCGGGUAGCCGGCCUGGGAGGGUGGCCGGCCACAUUGGGACUGAGAUACGGCGCAGACUCCUACGGGAGGCAGCAGUGGGGAAUAUUGCACAAUGGGCGGAAGCCUGAUGCAGCAACGCCGCGUGCGGGAUGACGGCCUUCGGGUUGUAAACCGCUUUCGCCUGUGACGAAGCGUGAGUGACGGUAAUGGGUAAAGAAGCACCGGCUAACUACGUG
Molecule: ribosomal RNA, 468 nt
Filed under: uncultured bacterium
Lineage: Bacteria
Description: partial 16S ribosomal RNA
Rfam family: Bacterial small subunit ribosomal RNA
Source: RNAcentral